This 253-nucleotide ribosomal RNA is filed under the name uncultured bacterium. RNAcentral's name for it is "partial 16S ribosomal RNA". It matches the Rfam family "Archaeal small subunit ribosomal RNA", at positions 474 to 727 of the family's 1478-position model. The record is from RNAcentral.
UACCAGCACCCCGAGUGGUCGGGACGUUUAUUGGGCCUAAAGCAUCCGUAGCCGGUUCUACAAGUCUUCCGUUAAAUCCAGCUGCUUAACAGAUGGGCUGCGGAAGAUACUAUGGAGCUAGGAGGCGGGAGAGGCAAGCGGUACUCGAUGGGUAGGGGUAAAAUCCGUUGAUCCAUUGAAGACCACCAGUGGCGAAGGCGGCUUGCCAGAACGCGCUCGACGCUGAGGUGCGAAAGCGUGGGGAGCAAACAGG